ACACAUGCAAGUCGAACGGCAGCACAGUAAGAGCUUGCUCUUAUGGGUGGCGAGUGGCGGACGGGUGAGGAAUACAUCGGAAUCUACUCUUUCGUGGGGGAUAACGUAGGGAAACUUACGCUAAUACCGCAUACGACCUACGGGUGAAAGCGGAGGACCUUCGGGCUUCGCGCGAUUGAAUGAGCCGAUGUCGGAUUAGCUAGUUGGCGGGGUAAAGGCCCACCAAGGCGACGAUCCGUAGCUGGUCUGAGAGGAUGAUCAGCCACACUGGAACUGAGACACGGUCCAGACUCCUACGGGAGGCAGCAGUGGGGAAUAUUGGACAAUGGGCGCAAGCCUGAUCCAGCCAUGCCGCGUGGGUGAAGAAGGCCUUCGGGUUGUAAAGCCCUUUUGUUGGGAAAGAAAAGCAGUCGGUUAAUACCCGAUUGUUCUGACGGUACCCAAAGAAUAAGCACCGGCUAACUUCGUGCCAGCAGCCGCGGUAAUACGAAGGGUGCAAGCGUUACUCGGAAUUACUGGGCGUAAAGCGUGCGUAGGUGGUGGUUUAAGUCUGUUGUGAAAGCCCUGGGCUCAACCUGGGAAUUGCAGUGGAUACUGGGUCACUAGAGUGUGGUAGAGGGUAGCGGAAUUCCCGGUGUAGCAGUGAAAUGCGUAGAGAUCGGGAGGAACAUCAGUGGCGAAGGCGGCUACCUGGACCAACACUGACACUGAGGCACGAAAGCGUGGGGAGCAAACAGGAUUAGAUACCCUGGUAGUCCACGCCCUAAACGAUGCGAACUGGAUGUUGGGUGCAAUUUGGCACGCAGUAUCGAAGCUAACGCGUUAAGUUCGCCGCCUGGGGAGUACGGUCGCAAGACUGAAACUCAAAGGAAUUGACGGGGGCCCGCACAAGCGGUGGAGUAUGUGGUUUAAUUCGAUGCAACGCGAAGAACCUUACCUGGUCUUGACAUCCACGGAACUUUCCAGA
RNAcentral lists this ribosomal RNA (967 nucleotides) under Xanthomonas oryzae. Its description in RNAcentral is "bacterial SSU rRNA". It matches the Rfam family "Bacterial small subunit ribosomal RNA", at positions 51 to 1004 of the family's 1533-position model. Lineage: Bacteria; Pseudomonadati; Pseudomonadota; Gammaproteobacteria; Lysobacterales; Lysobacteraceae. The record is from RNAcentral.